RNAcentral lists this ribosomal RNA (655 nucleotides) under uncultured bacterium. RNAcentral describes it as "bacterial SSU rRNA". It matches the Rfam family "Bacterial small subunit ribosomal RNA", at positions 57 to 744 of the family's 1533-position model. The record is from RNAcentral.
GCAAGUCGAGCGAGGUCUUCGGGCCUAGCGGCGGACGGGUGAGUAACGCGUGGGAACGUGCCCUUUGCUACGGAAUAGUCCCGGGAAACUGGGUUUAAUACCGUAUGUGCCCUCCAUUUUGGUGAUGGUUGGGGAAAGAUUUAUCGGCAAAGGAUCGGCCCGCGUUGGAUUAGGUAGUUGGUGGGGUAAUGGCCUACCAAGCCGACGAUCCAUAGCUGGUUUGAGAGGAUGAUCAGCCACACUGGGACUGAGACACGGCCCAGACUCCUACGGGAGGCAGCAGUGGGGAAUCUUAGACAAUGGGGGCAACCCUGAUCUAGCCAUGCCGCGUGAGUGAUGAAGGCCUUAGGGUUGUAAAGCUCUUUCAGCUGGGAAGAUAAUGACGGUACCAGCAGAAGAAGCCCCGGCUAACUCCGUGCCAGCAGCCGCGGUAAUACGGAGGGGGCUAGCGUUGUUCGGAAUUACUGGGCGUAAAGCGCACGUAGGCGGACUGGAAAGUUGGGGGUGAAAUCCCGGGGCUCAACCUCGGAACUGCCUUCAAAACUAUCAGUCUGGAGUUCGAGAGAGGUGAGUGGAAUUCCGAGUGUAGAGGUGAAAUUCGUAGAUAUUCGGAGGAACACCAGUGGCGAAGGCGGCUCACUGGCUCGAUACUGAC